Long non-coding RNA from Panthera uncia (snow leopard), 912 nucleotides. RefSeq lists it as uncharacterized. Lineage: Eukaryota; Metazoa; Chordata; Mammalia; Carnivora; Felidae. The transcript is spliced from 2 exons. The record is from RefSeq and is a predicted model, not a curated record.
CGGCCCGCGCGCCAAGCGUCAGGGGCGCCACGCGCGGAGGGGGCGGGGCUACGGCGGCUCGGAGGCCUCGCGGGUGCGGCCAGACCCUAGACCCGCGAAACUCGGACUUUGGCCCGCGCCCACCUGUCGCUACAAUAGCGGCCCCAGUACUUUCUGCGUUUCUCUUCCGCUUGCUCUCCUCAUCCUUUCCCCUCGAACCAGAGGAGCAAAUCCACUGGGGAGCUCUACAGGGUGGGGCCGCGGGCAGCCCGCUCCCGCGGUCAAGGCCUCCCCACGCUUGCUACUUCCAGACCUGUUCUCAGACGUCGGUGCCCGCCGGGUGCUCCGCGAGUUCCCUCCAUCCCUCCCCAGCCGUCGCGCGUCCUCAGUCUCCCAGGAAAGCCCUACAACAGCCUGCUGUUACAGUCCUGCUGUUUCUGCGUCUCGCCCAACUCCUCCUUGGCCUCCCUUAUCCCUCGUGUUCUGUUCAUUUCUUGAAAGACAAGUGGGAGGCCCGUGUUUUGUGUGGAAUCUGCUAGACAGUGCGGCGCUUUUACUAGGCUUGGGUUACCAAUGAAACACUUCUUGUGAGUGUUUGAGCCCUGUCUUUUAUAUAUCUCUUCAGGACCGGUCCACGUUACUUAAAAGUAACAGUGUUACCAAGAGCUCCCGUGCCUUGGCGCAUUUUCAGCUUUUUAAGUAUUCUGCAUUUGAUCUGCCUUACUUCCUGACUUGCUGGUAAGGGAUUCAGCUUCUCAAGGAGAUCUUUCUAAUGGCCAAGUUGGUGGUGAAAGCAAAGAUGGAAGAACUUUCCAUGUUACAGGACCCAGAGAAAAAAUUAAUCUUCCAAAUCUCAAGAAAAGGUGGUAAGCCACUAAAUUUAAAACUGUUUAUGGAUUAGAAACCAAAUAAAUAAGAUGAUUUUAAAUGCCA